AUCCCAUGAUGUGGAUACUUUAUUAAAAAAAUAUUAUACCACUCCUAGGCAUCAUAUAGUGUCUCCUCAUCUAAUUGCACAAAAUUUGAGAUCUCAAUCCUCAUGUG
Dendrobium catenatum is the source of this 107-nucleotide small nucleolar RNA. The record is from RefSeq and is a predicted model, not a curated record. Lineage: Eukaryota; Viridiplantae; Streptophyta; Magnoliopsida; Asparagales; Orchidaceae.